Long non-coding RNA from Oncorhynchus tshawytscha (Chinook salmon), 899 nucleotides. NCBI's taxonomy places the organism in Eukaryota, Metazoa, Chordata, Actinopteri, Salmoniformes, Salmonidae. The record is from Ensembl.
UUAUUAGGUAACACUUUACAGUAAGGUAACAUUUGUAAAGGGUUAAUAUAAGUAACAGUUAUUGAAUCAUUUAUAAUAUAAUAACUAAUGGUUAUGGAAUCAUUUAUAAUAACUAACGGUUAUGGAAUCAUUUAUAAUAUAAUAACUAACGGUUAUGGAGUCAUUUAUAAUAUAAUAACUAACGGUUAUGGAAUCAUUUAUAAUAACUAACGGUUAUGAAUCAUUUAUAAUAACCAACGGUUAUGGAAUCAUUUAUAAUAUAAUAACUAACGGUUAUGAAUCAUUUACAAUACAAUAACUAACGGUUAAGGAAUAUUUUAUAAAUGCAUUGGGAACCAUUAUAAAAUAGUUACCUUGGUCAAAAUAGUGCGAUAACUAGUCAGGGCCAAAUAGUGAGCCACAAUUUACAUUGUGGUGGAUAUUUUAAUCUUUAAUAAAAGGAUAUUAACUUUAAUAAAAACGUAUCGAUAAGGGAGCUGGUCACAAUACACACACAAGUGAACAGAGUGAAAGCCCACUGGGUGGAGUGGAGCCUCUGGGUUAUAUACCAUCUCAGGAUAGGUCAGGAAAGGAUAGGUCAGGAUAGGUCAGGAUAGGUCAGAACAGGUCAGGAUAGGAUAGGUCAGGAUAGGUCAGGUCAGGAUAGGUCAGGAUAGGUCAGGUCAUGAUAGGUCAGGAUAGGUCAGAACAGGUCAGGAUAAGAUAGGUCAGGAUAGGUCAGGUCAGGAUAGGAUAGGUCAGGAUAGGUCAGGAUAGGUCAGGACAGGUCAGGAUAGGUCAGGAUAGGUCAGGACAGGUCAGGAUAGGUCAGGGUAGGUCAGGUCAGGAUAGGUCAGGAUAGGUCAGGGUAGGUCAGGACAGGUCAGGAAAGGUCAGGAUAGGUCAGGUCAGGAUAGGUC